CCUACGGGAGGCAGCAGUAGGGAAUCUUCCACAAUGGGCGAAAGCCUGAUGGAGCAACGCCGCGUGGGUGAAGAAGGUCUUCGGAUCGUAAAACCCUGUUGUUAGAGAAGAAAGUGCGUGAGAGUAACUGUUCACGUUUCGACGGUAUCUAACCAGAAAGCCACGGCUAACUACGUGCCAGCAGCCGCGGUAAUACGUAGGUGGCAAGCGUUAUCCGGAGUUAUUGGGCGUAAAGGGAACGCAGGCGGUCUUUUAAGUCUGAUGUGAAAGCCUUCGGCUUAACCGGAGUAGUGCAUUGGAAACUGGGAGACGUGAGUGCAGCAGAGGAGAGUGGAACUCCAUGUGUAGCAGUGAAAUGCGUAGAUAGAUGGAAGAACACCAGUGGCGAAAGCGGCUCUCUGGUCUGUAACUGACGCUGAGGUUCGAAAGCGUGGGUAGCAAACAGGAUGAGAUACCCGAGUAGUC
RNAcentral lists this ribosomal RNA (465 nucleotides) under uncultured bacterium. RNAcentral describes it as "partial 16S ribosomal RNA". It matches the Rfam family "Bacterial small subunit ribosomal RNA", at positions 338 to 795 of the family's 1533-position model. The record is from RNAcentral.